Molecule: long non-coding RNA, 3321 nt
Filed under: Homo sapiens (human)
Lineage: Eukaryota; Metazoa; Chordata; Mammalia; Primates; Hominidae
Description: HSALNT0350763
Source: RNAcentral
UCAGAGGACAAGAGUUUAUUCUACUUGACCAAACACAUACAAAAUACUGGAAGGAGAGUUUUACAACAAAUAUUUAAUGUCUAUGACAUGUAAAAAGGUUUUCCAAAUCAAGAAAAUUCAAACAAUUCAAUACAAAUAUCAUCAAUACUAACACAUGAACAGGUGGCCAACCUUAUUAAUAACCAGAGAAAUACAAAUUAAAACAAUCCAUCAACUUGUAAAAAAGAUGAAAUUACCCAGAGUUGGUGUAGGUGAUGGAAAAUUGUCAUGUUUGUAUACUGUUCAUAGAAGUUAAAUUGACAUAACUUUUUGGUCAGGCAAUUUGGAAGUAUAUAUCUAAAUUAAUAGAGUAGUUUUCUAAUAACCUGGGAAUCUCUUAAUCUAAGAAUCUUUACUGUAGAUUUUUCUAGAACAAAUGUACAAACAUCUAUGUACAAGGGUACUCACUGCAGCAUUUUGCUAAGGAAAAACUCAGAAAAAAUCUAUAUGUUCAACAGAGAACAGGUACAUAAUUUAUGACACAACCGCACAAUAUACACCACUAAAAUAAAGGAUAUAAAUUUAUAUGUAGUAUGAAAAAGAUGUGAAUGAUAGCUUAUUGGUGAAAAACAGCAAUGACUGGAAUAUUGUGUGUAACGUAAUCCUGCUUUUCUGUAUAUAAUGUAGGCAUAGAAAAUAGGAUUGAAAGGACAUACUGUAGUCAACAGUGGAUAUAGCUUUGGUGGAGGGGGUGUAUAAUGGGGAAGGAGAGUCCCUUUUCCUAUCUAUUCCAUAUACAUCUCUGGAUUGAGAAGAUCAUACAUGCAUAUGCAUUACCUUCAAAAUUAAAAUGAUAAAGACAAAAGGAGAAGCUUUGGAUUUGAAUCAUGAUACUACUGUUUGCAACUUAUAUGACCGUGGGGAAGUCGCCUAGCCUCCUGGGGUUUAUUUCCUCAUUUAUAAAAAUAGGGAAAGUAAUAAUACUUGUCUACAUAUCUUCUAGGGUUGUUGGGAGGAUUGAAUGUGAUCAUGGGUUACAGCAUUAUGAAUUAUUUAUUCAUAUAACACAAUUAUUAUAAAAAUAUUUUGCUCUGAUUAAAAUAAAAGAAGGACGAGAUCGUGUGUGUUUUUUUCCCAGUAGCUUUACUAACCAGAAAGCGCCUGCUGAUGUGGUGAUCACAGUUGCUUUGGUGCAGCUUCCUCUUGACUUUUGGCAUUUCUCCAUGCUGCUAGCUAAAGCUGAGGUGGCGACUGUUGAAGGUGUGAGCUCCUCCCCCUCCCGGCACACAUUUGUGUGCGUACUCACACUCAUGCACACACAAACACACACAUGCACACUCUAUCACAGUACAUGAGGUGGCAGCAGCUGCUCCGGCAUAGACUUUCACACAACAUAAAGGGCUUUUUUGGUGUGGUCUGUGCAUUAUUUCCUGUUAAGCAUGAGCUGAGUCAGUGCCCUGCUUUUCCAUCUGAAACCUUUCUGAGGCUCAGGCUGUGUUAAGAGCAAACCCUCUCCCCUCCAUGCCCACCCCAUGGCCCUCUAUUGAAGCCAGAUCUUAAUCUGCUCAUUGCAUGAGGAUUUUCAAACCGAAUGGACUGGGCCAUGUGAGAGAUCACUGAAAGGAACAGACCAAGCAGAGGCUAAGAGACUCCACGUUAAUCUGCUGAGUCGUCUGAAAAUGCACAGCUGUGGGAGCUCACGGUGCUUUAAAGUACUUCGGCAGGAUGUUUGUUCAGGGGGCCUGUUCCUGCAGCCCUGCUGAAUGUUUGGUUAGGAGGCAUAAUCUUUUUUUGGACAGGAUCUCCCAAAUGUAAAGUGAUAGAUGCGAAUGUGGAAUAUAAUACGGAAGAUCCAGCUUGGAUGUCAUAAAUAACAAUAAAUUGUUUAAUCUUGCUGAGCUGUAAAUCUAUGAUUGCCAGAGGUCUUUAGUUCACUGGAACAUAGUAUGGGGGCAGGGGCACUUAGCAAAUAGGCAGUUAUUAUUUUCCAACCAGACAGAAACUGGUCUGAUGGAAUUUAUCUAAAAAGGCAUACACAUGUAUUUUAAUUAAUUGUGACAAUUACUCAGAGAAAACACAUGGCCCUAAAGAGGCUGAGGGGUUUUUUUGUUCUACCUAUAAAUGUAUAUGUAUAUUCACCUAUAUUCUACCUAUGUAUAAGUAAGAGAAUGAGUUUUUGUUUUGGGGAUAUAUAUUUAUACGUAUCUAUACAGAUAUGUAUAAUUUCUGUCUUAAUUUCUGUCUACCUAUUAAGGUGCGGUGCCAGAUGGAAAGUAUUUUUAAGCAUUUAGAUAGCUUAUUCUAUAGCAUAUGUGUGCAUAUAGCCCCCCCAUAAAGCUUUGUCUCUUUUCUGGAUAUAUUUAACAAGAGGCUAGAACAGAGUCCAAAAUGUCAGAAAUGUUUGAAUAUUCCAUAGAAAUGAAGGAGGUGUUUCCAAAUGACCUAUGUUUCUAUGGCAAUAAAUAGAACUUGUGCUGCGUUGGAUGGGUCAGGAGUAAGGAAUAUAAACAGUGUAAGUAUGACUAUUCCAGGCAGAAAUCUACCUUGUAAGAACAGCUUUGUGCAGUGAGCUCAACAACAUUGAUCAGUUAGCAGUCCGGUUCAGUACAACACUGAUCAGGUAGCAAGCCGGUUUGGCAGUGCCAGUCGGAGACACAGAUGGGGACAAUCGAAGAAGAUGCAGGUCAGGACAAGGAUGCAGACAUGUACCUGUCACUACCAUGGACUUCAGCAGCUUCUUAGCAGGUUUAUGAUUAAAGAAGAAAGACAUCGUUGAUAUAUUGGACGACUGAUUAUUGGACAGAAUGGCGUCUUGUCGACACCUGCGGUCUCCUGCAUUAUCAGGAAGAUCAAGGCAGCUGGUGGAAUCAUUCUAACAGCCAGCCACUGCCCUGGAGGACCAGGGGGAGAGUUUGGAGUGAAGUUUAAUGUUGCCAAUGGAGGGCAGACUUCUUGGAGGAAGUGAAAUUUGAACUGCGAUGUGAAGAAUGAGCAGGAGUUAGUGAGGUGAAGAUGAGAGAAGGAGUGUUGCAAACACAGGUCAGUCUGUGCAAAGGCCCUGAGACACAAGGAGCCUAGAACCACGGCUCGAAGACAACCGUCUGGCUGGGGCAUGGCUCGUCUUACAGAUCACAUUAAGGAACAAAUAAUUAUGUUAAGAGUUAUGGGCUGCCAUUAAGGAUUUGGAUAAGAGAGUCUUACAAUCACAUCUGUGUUUUCUAAAGGCCUGACACUGAUUGGUACAUGGAGUACAGCCUGAAGGGAACAAGACUUGUUAGAAAGGAAGCUAUUGGCUGGGUGUGGUGGCUUGUGCCUAUAAUCCCAGCACUUUGGGAAGCUGAG